GACGAACCGUGCAAACGUUGUUCGGAAUCACUGGGCUUAAAGGGCGCGUAGGCGGGCGACCAAGUCAGAGGUGAAAGCCCACGGCUCAACCGUGGAAGUGCCCCUGAUACUGGUUGUCUUGAGGGAGAUAGGGGCGUGCGGAACUUCCGGUGGAGCGGUGAAAUGCGUAGAUAUCGGAAGGAACACCGGUGGCGAAAGCGGCGCGCUGGAUCUCUACUGACGCUGAGGCGCGAAAGCCAGGGGAG
This 245-nucleotide ribosomal RNA is filed under the name uncultured bacterium. RNAcentral describes it as "partial 16S ribosomal RNA". It matches the Rfam family "Bacterial small subunit ribosomal RNA", at positions 524 to 768 of the family's 1533-position model. The record is from RNAcentral.